This 1265-nucleotide unclassified non-coding RNA is filed under the name Hevea brasiliensis (rubber tree). Lineage: Eukaryota; Viridiplantae; Streptophyta; Magnoliopsida; Malpighiales; Euphorbiaceae. The record is from RNAcentral.
UUUUUUUUUUUGAACUCAUCAAGAAAUGCACUGCCACUAGCUACAUAUUAAUCCAUUCACAGUAAAAAGAAGAUGAUGGCCGACCACUCACAUUUAAAUUUUCCUGAAUGGAAGGGACCUAAAACGCUUACCCUACUACAAAACCAAACCAAAUUGUUAUCGUAGAAUCAAAGCGUGCUGACAGGUCCAUUGAUGAAAAUCACCAGUCAUAACAACUCGUUAAGUCGGCAAACAAUAAGAAAGAAACUACAAUGCUAUGACAACAAAAUGAGCUCUCUGUACAUGACAGAUCUUAAGCCAUUGUAAGUAGCCAAGUACACAAUGGCACAAAGAAACUAGCAUAUAUACUUAUUCAUAUGAUGUCCCUUCAUGUUCUCAAUCGUCUAACUGGUGAUCGGCUGCGAUAUCUUCCAUACUNCUUCGAGUCCUACCAUAAUCAGGACUCCUGCGCCUGUCAUAAGCUGGACCAUUGUACCUGUCAUACACUGGGCUGCGAGCUCUACCAUAAUCAGGACUAGGUCUCCUGCGAUACACAGGGCUUGGAGACCUUCCAUGAUAACUUCCUCUCCUAGGACUAUCAUAUCUGUCUCCCCUCUCACCAUCAUCCCUCAAAGCAUACUCAACUGACACCACCCUGUCCAAUAUUUUGCUCAUGUGUGUACACUCGAGGGCUUUGGUAGCAUCUUCCUGUGUCUCAAACUGCACAAAUGCAAAAUUCCUCCGAAUCCUAACAUGGAGAACUUCCCCAAAUCUUUCAAAGUGACUCUUUAUGUCUUCAACCCUAGUGCGAAUUGGAUCAAAAUUAAUUACAAAAAGGGUCUUAGUGGGCUUCUGGUUUGUUAUGGACCUGGACCCAUCAUGAUGCCGACCACGUUCACCCCUAGCCCACUCCACAGAUAGCCUGCGUCUGUCAUAACCAAAUGGCAUGUUGUCAAGUCCAUGAAUGGCAUCUGCUGCAUCACGUUCAUCCCCAAAAUAAACAAAGGCAAAACCAGAUUUCAUGUCCACUCGCUCCACCCUUCCGUACUUGCCGAACAGGCGUUCCAAUUCAGAUUGGCGAGUCUCGUACUCAAAGUUUCCAACGAAAACCGGCCGCGCCAUCUUUGCAAUAGAAUUUCCCCCUCUAAAACCUCAACAAAACACCCGAAAAUAAAAUCAAAACCAACGCCCAAUGUUCAUACACAAUGAAUUACCAAAAAAAAAGGCGCAUUAAGGUAACGUUUGUAAAUCCUUUACUUUAUUGUCAACCAAAAGACCAACACAAU